Molecule: ribosomal RNA, 279 nt
Filed under: uncultured bacterium
Lineage: Bacteria
Description: partial 16S ribosomal RNA
Rfam family: Bacterial small subunit ribosomal RNA
Source: RNAcentral
UGCCAGCAGCCGCUGUAAUACGGACGGGGCAAGCGUUGUUCGGAUUAACUGGGCGUAAAGGGUGUGUAGGCGGGCAGGUCAGUGAAACGUGAAAUCCUGAGGCUUAACUUCAGAACUGCGUUUCAUACUACCUGUCCAGAGUAUGGGAGAAGUAAGUGGAACUCUCAGUGUAGCGGUGAAAUGCGUAGAUAUUGAGAAGAACACCAGAGGUGAAAACGGCUUACUAGCCUAAUACUGACGCUGAGGCACGAAGGCUAGGGGAGCAAACAGGAUUAGAUA